This 460-nucleotide ribosomal RNA is filed under the name uncultured bacterium. RNAcentral's name for it is "partial 16S ribosomal RNA". It matches the Rfam family "Bacterial small subunit ribosomal RNA", at positions 338 to 795 of the family's 1533-position model. The record is from RNAcentral.
CCUACGGGUGGCAGCAGUGAGGAAUAUUGGGCAAUGGACGAGAGUCUGAACCAGCCAAGUAGCGUGAAGGAUGACUGCCCUAUGGGUUGUAAACUUCUUUUAUAUGGGAAUAAAAUGUUCCACGUGUGGGAUUUUGUAUGUACCAUAUGAAUAAGGAUCGGCUAACUCCGUGCCAGCAGCCGCGGUAAUACGGAGGAUCCGAGCGUUAUCCGGAUUUAUUGGGUUUAAAGGGAGCGUAGGUGGAUUGUUAAGUCAGUUGGGAAAGUUUGCGGCUCAACCGUAAAAGUGCAGUUGAAACUGGCAGUCUUGAGUACAGUAGAGGUGGGCGGAAUUCGUGGUGUAGCGGUGAAAUGCUUAGAUAUCACGAAGAACUCCGAUAGCGAAGGCAGCUCACUGGACUGCAACUGACACUGAGGCUCGAAAGUGUGGGUAUCAAACAGGAUUAGAUACCCUGGUAGUC